AGUGAGCGCUGGCGGUAGGCCUAACACAUGCAAGUCGAACGGCAGCACAGUAAGAGCUUGCUCUUACGGGUGGCGAGUGGCGGACGGGUGAGGAAUACAUCGGAAUCUACUUUUUCGUGGGGGAUAACGUAGGGAAACUUACGCUAAUACCGCAUACGACCUACGGGUGAAAGCAGGGGAUCUUCGGACCUUGCGCGAUUGAAUGAGCCGAUGUCGGAUUAGCUAGUUGGCGGGGUAAAGGCCCACCAAGGCGACGAUCCGUAGCUGGUCUGAGAGGAUGAUCAGCCACACUGGAACUGAGACACGGUCCAGACUCCUACGGGAGGCAGCAGUGGGGAAUAUUGGACAAUGGGCGCAAGCCUGAUCCAGCCAUACCGCGUGGGUGAAGAAGGCCUUCGGGUUGUAGAGCCCUUUUGUUGGGAAAGAAAAGCAGCAGGUUAAUACCCCGCUGUUCUGACGGUACCCAAAGAAUAAGCACCGGCUAACUUCGUG
This 492-nucleotide ribosomal RNA is filed under the name uncultured bacterium. RNAcentral's name for it is "partial 16S ribosomal RNA". It matches the Rfam family "Bacterial small subunit ribosomal RNA", at positions 29 to 507 of the family's 1533-position model. The record is from RNAcentral.